Rhinopithecus bieti (black snub-nosed monkey) is the source of this 107-nucleotide small nuclear RNA. Lineage: Eukaryota; Metazoa; Chordata; Mammalia; Primates; Cercopithecidae. The record is from Ensembl.
GUGCUCACUUCCGCAGCACAAACACUAAAAUUGGAACAAUAUAGAGAAGAUUAGCAUGGCUCCUGCCCAAAAAUGACAUACAAAUUCAUGAAGCUUUCCAUCAGUUU